GGAAAACUUUCUGCUGACGGCUUCUGGAAGUAAAUGUCUAUCCUGACAUUCUGAAGGAGACACAGAAAGAUGUGUUUGCACAGUCUGACUGCAUUAGAGAAGCAGUCAGAAGACCUCUCCAGCCUGGUCGGGGCUUUUGUUGGCCAUGGAGGUAUGGGGCUCUUUGUUAUCAGCAGAACAGUGGUGGGUAAACACAAGAUAAAGAGGCUGAGUGAGCCUCUGCCAUGUCUGUUUUCCAAUCUUGUCAGUUAGAAUGACUCCAGCCAUUAAGGCAGUUACCGCAACAUGCUGACAACAUGUACGGAUGCCACCUGGACCCAGAUGUGCCUCAGCGGUGGGUAAAUGGAGGGAAUGAUGAAGAGGAAGUUUAGGGGACAUGUCUGCGGCGGCAUAUGCCCAAACCUGUGCAUCCCAUUACUCUUCCUCUGCGAGUCCCUGCGUGUGAGCCCCAGACAAUACGCCAUUGUUUGGCUUCAUAAAGACGACACAAAAGCCACAAUAACAGGGGGGAAAAGUGGAAACGCUGCAAAGUCCUUGGCAACUACGCUGCGUGUUUCGCCACGCUCUUCCCGAUGUGCACAUGGAAUGGCUCACUCCACGAGGCCAGCGGGGGCUCGUUUCCCGUGGUGAGGCCACACGGGGAAAAUGCAAUUCCCUUCCUGUGGUCGGAUGCUGCCGGGCGCCCUGAUUAAGAGCCGAGGAUGCGACUGGCUUCCUGCCAGCAGCCUUGUUUAAGGUGAUCAGAAAGGCCGCCGUCACACUCACCCACACAAAGCGAGGCAAAUGAGCAGCACCGAGGAGGGAGGGGCGGGCAUCAAAUGGGUCUGGCGGAGUCCCCCCUCCCACCUCCUGUGCCCCCCCUACUGGGCAGUCGUGUUUGAUGGAGAAGGUAGGAUACAUUACUCACAAAGGGUCCAGCGUUUCCAAUCCCGCCUCGCUACAGGUAGUUUGACUGAUGACGCACCAAACGCCAUGAUCACAUACUGAUCAUGGCGCUCUCUGGGGGGUGGGGGUGGGGGUCCUAGCUGCAGGCGCACUUCACUGCCAUAACCCUUAACUGCACAGCUCCCCUCCCUUCUAACUACAGCUGGCCCGUGUUAUUAGUGGGCGACUUGUAAAUCUUUGGUGCGCCUUUGGGCGACGGUUAUGACCGGAUCCCGUUUCUCCCCUUCCUUUCCUGUUUCUCCUCCAACUUCUGACGGUUUUGAUCUGUUCUCCUGAAAUGAAUACAGCUCCCUAAUAAAAAAAACCAGUGGGGGGGUCACAAUAUUAGAUGGGGUUAAGAGUUCGUGGAGGAGUUUUGUACCACAGGAGGGUCGACUUGAUAUCAG
Molecule: long non-coding RNA, 1331 nt
Filed under: Oryzias sinensis (Chinese medaka)
Lineage: Eukaryota; Metazoa; Chordata; Actinopteri; Beloniformes; Adrianichthyidae
Description: lncRNA (ENSOSIG00000015837.1)
Source: RNAcentral